UUACAAUCUGAGGCUCAAAUGUGGACAU
Molecule: non-coding RNA, 28 nt
Filed under: Cricetulus griseus (Chinese hamster)
Lineage: Eukaryota; Metazoa; Chordata; Mammalia; Rodentia; Cricetidae
Source: RNAcentral